CCCGGAGGAGGAAGAGGCGGGGUUGACGGCGCUCCUCAGACGCCAAGCUUCUUUCUCAUAAGCCACCUUUCAGUUUUGAGUGAAGGUGGGCAUGUGGAAUCCCUACGGCCCAAGAUCGCAUUCCUUCUAGCCUUCGAGCCUGCUAGAGAGGCCCAGUUGGUACGAUAAUACUUAUUCACCAAGCUGGUCAUCGACGAGAGUGAGGAUACCCUAGACGGAGCAAGAAUGGGCAGAGGCUGAAGAGCCGACUAUGAAGCCAACAUUUCAAGCAUAGAAAAUUGAUUCUACAUAGCCUCUUUUACAAGGCGACGUUUUUCUUUUUAACCUUAAAGUACAGGAAAAAUGGACAAGAACACUUUGGAGAUAAUAUGGUGAGUUGGUUCCAUUCCUGUCAGUUGUCUUCCCCACUACCUAUUGUCCUGGUCUAAACAACUAUGAGAAUUCUGGCCUUUUUUAAGUGAGUGAUCACAAGAUGAUUAAGUUCUCACUCACCUCUGUGAAUGCCUCAAUAUGGAAAGCUUUAUCUUUGAGGGCAAGAAAGUUGCCCAGCCACCUAUGUUGGAGUUCUUAAGUGGUCUCUUACCACCAUUCAGAUCCACCCACCACCACACAUUAAUUAAUGUGAAACCAAUCAAACAAAGGAAAGACCUGAGGCACCAGGCUCCAGAUGCUGCCCCUAGAAUCUUUUCCAUUGUGAUAACCAAGUGUUUUCCAGAGUUGGGGAAGGGUAGAAAGAUAAAGAGGGUGUUGAAGAGGGAAGGAAGAGAGGAUGGGGAGGCCAGAGAGCUUAGCAUAGUGUUUCUGUUUGUGUAUCCCGAUUUGUGAUUGGGUAGGCUUUUCAAGUUAUCUGAGGCCGUGGAGGUGAAAUGGGGACUAAAAAGAAGUUGGUUCAAGCAUAUUAUCAUUCAGUUU
Microtus ochrogaster (prairie vole) is the source of this 912-nucleotide long non-coding RNA. RefSeq lists it as uncharacterized. The record is from RefSeq and is a predicted model, not a curated record. NCBI's taxonomy places the organism in Eukaryota, Metazoa, Chordata, Mammalia, Rodentia, Cricetidae.